RNA transcript from Hyaena hyaena (striped hyena), 2843 nucleotides. It is a transcript of the gene named bromodomain containing 3, with no coding region annotated. The record is from RefSeq and is a predicted model, not a curated record. The transcript has 13 exons. NCBI's taxonomy places the organism in Eukaryota, Metazoa, Chordata, Mammalia, Carnivora, Hyaenidae.
CGGCGCGUCUAUUAUGCUGCCGGGGCCGGCGAGCCAAAGAGGAGCCGGCCGCGCGGGCCGGGAGGGACGGCCGCAGGAGCCGCCGAGGCCAAGUGCUGCCCGGUUGGGCCCAGAAAUGGGAUGUCAGGCCGCCGAAAGGAGCAUAGUGGAAGCCAGGGCGUCCCCGAGCCGCUGCUGUGACGGCCAGUGAGCGACAGCAGAGGAUGUCCACCAGCACGACGGUCGCCCCCACGGGGAUCCCAGCGGCCCCGGGCCCCGUGAACCCGCCCCCUCCGGAGGUCUCCAACCCCACCAAGCCGGGCCGCAAGACCAACCAGCUGCAGUACAUGCAGAAUGUGGUGGUGAAGACGCUCUGGAAACACCAGUUCGCCUGGCCCUUCUACCAGCCCGUGGACGCAAUCAAGCUGAACCUGCCCGAUUAUCAUAAGAUAAUAAAGAACCCGAUGGACAUGGGGACUAUCAAGAAGAGGCUAGAAAACAGCUAUUACUGGAGCGCGAGCGAGUGUAUGCAGGACUUCAACACCAUGUUCACAAACUGUUACAUUUAUAACAAGCCCACAGAUGACAUAGUGCUAAUGGCCCAGGCCUUAGAGAAAAUUUUUCUGCAGAAAGUGGCCCAGAUGCCCCAGGAAGAAGUUGAAUUAUUACCCCCUGCUCCGAAGGGCAAAGGCCGGAAGCCAGCUGGCGGAAGCCAGAGCACAGGUACGCAGCAGGUGGCGGCCGUGUCCUCUGUGUCCCCAGCAGCCCCCUUUCAGAGCGUCCCCCCCACCGUCUCCCAGACGCCUGUCAUUGCUGCCACCCCUGUGCCAACCAUCACUGCAAACGUCACGUCGGUCCCCAUGCCCCCGGCCGCCGCCCCACCGCCUCCCUCGACGCCCAUCAUCCCUGUGGUCCCUCCCACACCGCCUGUCAUCAAGAAAAAGGGUGUGAAGCGGAAAGCAGACACCACGACGCCCACGACGUCGGCCAUCACUGCCAGCCGGAGCGAGUCGCCCCCGCCGCUGUCUGACCCCAAGCAGGCCAAGGUGGUGGCGCGGCGGGAGAGCGGGGGCCGCCCCAUCAAGCCGCCCAAGAAGGACCUGGAGGACGGCGAGGUGCCCCAGCACGCGGGCAAGAAGGGCAAGCUGUCGGAGCACUUGCGGCACUGCGACAGCAUCCUCAAGGAGAUGCUGUCCAAGAAGCACGCGGCCUACGCCUGGCCCUUCUACAAGCCGGUGGACGCCGAGGCCCUGGAGUUGCAUGACUAUCACGACAUCAUCAAGCACCCGAUGGACCUUAGCACUGUCAAGAAGAAGAUGGACAGCCGCGAGUACCCGGACGCGCAGGGCUUCGCGGCUGACAUCCGGUUAAUGUUCUCCAAUUGCUACAAAUACAACCCCCCAGACCAUGAGGUGGUGGCCAUGGCCAGGAAGCUCCAGGACGUGUUUGAGAUGCGGUUUGCCAAGAUGCCAGAUGAGCCCGCGGAGGCGCCCGCGCUGCCUGCCCCUGCAGCCCCAGCGCUGAGCAAGGGCGCCGAGAGCAGCCGCAGCAGCGAGGGGAGCUCGUCGGACUCGGGCAGCUCGGACUCAGAGGAGGAGCGGGCCACCAGGCUGGCGGAGCUGCAGGAGCAGCUGAAGGCUGUGCACGAGCAGCUGGCCGCCCUGUCGCAGGCCCCGGUGAACAAGCCAAAGAGGAAGAAGGAGAAGAAGGAGAAGGAGAAGAAGAAGAAGGACAAGGACAAGGACAAGGACAAGGAGAGGCACAAGGCCAAGUGCGAGGACGACAAGAAAGCCAAGGCGGCCCCGCCUGCCAAGCAGGCCCAGCCCAAGAAGCCUCCCGCCAAGAAGGCCAGCAGCACGGCCGCGGCCGGCAGGCAGCCGAAGAAGGGCGGCAAGCAGGCAUCGGCCUCCUACGACUCGGAGGAGGAGGAAGAGGGCUUGCCCAUGAGCUACGAUGAGAAGCGCCAGCUCAGCCUGGACAUCAACCGGCUGCCCGGGGAGAAGCUGGGCCGCGUGGUGCACAUCAUCCAGUCCCGGGAGCCCUCGCUCAGGGACUCCAACCCUGACGAGAUAGAGAUUGACUUUGAGACUCUGAAACCCACCACGUUGCGGGAACUAGAGAGAUACGUCAAGUCUUGUUUACAGAAGAAGCAAAGGAAGCCAUUCUCCACAAGCGGGAAGAAGCAGGCGGCCAAGUCGAAGGAGGAGUUAGCUCAGGAAAAGAAGAAGGAGUUAGAGAGGCGGCUGCAGGACGUCAGCGGACAGCUGAACAACAGCAAGAAGCCUGCCAAGAAAGAGAAAGCGGGCUCGGCGCCCUCGGGAGGGCCAUCCCGGCUCAGCAGCAGCAGCUCGUCGGGGUCCGGGAGCAGCAGUUCCAGCGGGUCCAGCUCCGACAGCAGCGACUCGGAAUGAGCCCGGGACUCAGAACGGCACGGAAGCAGCGACGUCGCGCUCGCCCCGACUCUGCAGUGUUCCCUUCUAUGGUCAGAGAUCUUUCUCGUGUGUACGUGAGGCUUUACGAGCAGGUGCGACUCUGCAUAAAGUCUUCGUAACUGAAUCCGGUUGCUCGGAGCUGACAACCUCAGACGCCGACCUGACCGCCGUAGGAAAACCCUGUCACAUGUGAUCUGGAGUUUCUUGCAAAACCCCUGUCGUAGGCCCCACCUGGUCUCCGGCCCCGGAAAGCACUGUUUGGAAGGAAGUUUCUCUGGAUGGUACUGUGUGGAAAGCGGUCGGCUUGGCAAAUAGGCGGUCUUUGUCCUCGGGGCCCCAAGCUGAGCUUCCUCGCAGCUGGGGUCGCCGCUUUCUGGGGGCGCGGAGAACGGCCAGGCUGGCGCGGGCUUGGGGCGGGGGCUGUCCAGCUCC